RNAcentral lists this ribosomal RNA (357 nucleotides) under Columbicola mjoebergi. RNAcentral's name for it is "partial 12S ribosomal RNA". Lineage: Eukaryota; Metazoa; Arthropoda; Insecta; Psocodea; Philopteridae. The record is from RNAcentral.
CCCUAUUAUUAAGAUCAAAAAAUCAACUUAGAGAGUAGGUUUUCGCUGAAAACCAUUUAGGGUGGCGGUUUUCUUUACUAUCAGAUGGAUGUGUUUCUAAAACGAAAUUGCACGAACAUCUUACUUACUCUUGAAAAUACAUCCUGUACACCGCCGUCUGAAGGAUAAAUUUAGUACGUUAAUCCUAUUUCUCACACAGAAAUAAGUCAGGUAAGGUGCAGACUAUGGGUAAGAAGAGAUGCAUCUCUCUAACUUCACAAAAACUAGUUUGAAAAACUUUUUUAAGAAGAAUUUGAAAGUAAGCUUUUUUAAUCAUAAAAACCUGAAAUAGUAACAAGAAAAUGUACACAUCGCCCG